Non-coding RNA from Parcubacteria group bacterium CG1_02_40_25, 72 nucleotides. The record is from Rfam.
GCCAGCGUGGCUCAAUGGUAGAGCAGCACCCUCGUAAAGUGCAGGUUGUCAGUUCGAUUCUGACCGCUGGCU